RNAcentral lists this unclassified non-coding RNA (253 nucleotides) under uncultured Pirellulaceae bacterium. RNAcentral's name for it is "contains 16S-23S intergenic spacer region". It matches the Rfam family "Bacterial small subunit ribosomal RNA", at positions 524 to 776 of the family's 1533-position model. Lineage: Bacteria; Pseudomonadati; Planctomycetota; Planctomycetia; Pirellulales; Pirellulaceae. The record is from RNAcentral.
GACGAACCGUCCAAACGUUAUUCGGAAUCACUGGGCUUAAAGGGUGCGUAGGCGGCGCGGCAAGUUGGGUGUGAAAUACCUCGGCUCAACCGGGGAACUGCGCCCAAAACUGCCGUGCUCGAGGAAGAUAGAGGUGAGCGGAACUUAGGGUGGAGCGGUGAAAUGCGUUGAUAUCCUAAGGAACACCGGUGGCGAAAGCGGCUCACUGGAUCUUUUCUGACGCUGAGGCACGAAAGCUAGGGUAGCGAACGGG